GGUGGGAACACAGACACACCCUGGUGUAACGGGAGCCUGGAGAUGCAAGGGAUGGAAGAUUUAGUAAUGGCAAAAUGAGCAAGAGAAUGCUGGCUACUAUAUAAACAGUUCUAGAAGAACAAGAAUUGAAACAGGAAGUCCAGUUAGAAUGCUAUUUCAGCAACUGAGGCCAUUACUGGGCAUAUACAUGGAGAAAACCAUAAUUCGAAAAGAUACAUGCAUGCCAAUGUUCAUUGCAGUACUAUUAGCCAAGACAUGGAAGCAACCUAAAUGUUCAUCAACAGAG
Long non-coding RNA from Lagenorhynchus albirostris (white-beaked dolphin), 286 nucleotides. RefSeq lists it as uncharacterized. The transcript has 3 exons. NCBI's taxonomy places the organism in Eukaryota, Metazoa, Chordata, Mammalia, Artiodactyla, Delphinidae. The record is from RefSeq and is a predicted model, not a curated record.